Molecule: non-coding RNA, 85 nt
Filed under: Modestobacter marinus
Lineage: Bacteria; Bacillati; Actinomycetota; Actinomycetes; Geodermatophilales; Geodermatophilaceae
Description: c-di-GMP sequence
Rfam family: c-di-GMP-II-GAG riboswitch aptamer
Source: Rfam by way of RNAcentral
GCACAACGGGGAAGCGAUGACCCGCCGGGCGCAAUUGGUCGCCUUAGCCCGGCGGUGAGCAGAGGCGAAACCGGCCCGUUCCUUU